Molecule: ribosomal RNA, 519 nt
Filed under: uncultured bacterium
Lineage: Bacteria
Description: bacterial SSU rRNA
Rfam family: Bacterial small subunit ribosomal RNA
Source: RNAcentral
AGAGUUUGAUUAUGGCUCAGGAUGAACGCUAGCUACAGGCUUAACACAUGCAAGUCGAGGGGCAGCAUUGGAGUAGCAAUACUCAGAUGGCGACCGGCGCACGGGUGAGUAACACGUAUCCAACCUGCCGCUUACUCGGGGAUAGCCUUUCGAAAGAAAGAUUAAUACCCGAUGGUAUAAAGAGUUCGCAUGUUCUCUUUAUUAAAGAAUUUCGGUAAGCGAUGGGGAUGCGUUCCAUUAGAUAGUUGGCGGGGUAACGGCCCACCAAGUCUACGAUGGAUAGGGGUUCUGAGAGGAAGGUCCCCCACAUUGGAACUGAGACACGGUCCAAACUCCUACGGGAGGCAGCAGUGAGGAAUAUUGGUCAAUGGACGAGAGUCUGAACCAGCCAAAAGUAGCGUGAAGGAUGACUGCCCUAUGGGUUGUAAACUUCUUUUAUAAGGGAAUAAAGUGAGGGACGUGUCCCUUUUUGUAUGUACCUUAUGAAUAAGGAUCGGCUAACUCCGUGCCAGCCGCGGC